This 269-nucleotide RNase P RNA is filed under the name Nostoc sp. C3-bin3. Its description in RNAcentral is "partial RNase P RNA component class A". It matches the Rfam family "Bacterial RNase P class A", at positions 1 to 205 of the family's 367-position model. Rfam says of the family: Ribonuclease P (RNase P) is a ubiquitous endoribonuclease, found in archaea, bacteria and eukarya as well as chloroplasts and mitochondria. Its best characterised activity is the generation of mature 5'-ends of tRNAs by cleaving the 5'-leader elements of precursor-tRNAs. The record is from RNAcentral. Lineage: Bacteria; Bacillati; Cyanobacteriota; Cyanophyceae; Nostocales; Nostocaceae.
AGAGUAGGCGCAGGCGGUUGCAGAUCAGUCAUAGUUACUGGUUUGAGGAAAGUCCGGACUCCCGAAAGACCAAACUUGCUGGAUAACGUCCAGUGCGAGCGAUCGUGAGGAUAGUGCCACAGAAAGAUACCGCCAGGACAAUUAAGAAUUAAAAAUUAAAAAUGUAAAAUGAGUAAUUUUUAAUUUUUAAUUUUACAUUUUUAAUUGAUCUGGUAAGGGUGCAAAGGUGCGGUAAGAGCGCACCAGCAGUAUCGAGAGGUGCUGGCUCG